Molecule: ribosomal RNA, 254 nt
Filed under: uncultured bacterium
Lineage: Bacteria
Description: partial 16S ribosomal RNA
Rfam family: Bacterial small subunit ribosomal RNA
Source: RNAcentral
UACGUAGGGUGCGAGCGUUAAUCGGAAUUACUGGGCGUAAAGCGUGCGCAGGCGGUGAUGUAAGACAGAUGUGAAAUCCCCGGGCUCAACCUGGGAACUGCAUUUGUGACUGCAUCGCUGGAGUACGGCAGAGGGGGAUGGAAUUCCGCGUGUAGCAGUGAAAUGCGUAGAUAUGCGGAGGAACACCGAUGGCGAAGGCAAUCCCCGUGGGCCUGUACUGACGCUCAUGCACGAAAGCGUGGGGAGCAAACAGG